Molecule: transfer RNA, 77 nt
Filed under: Isoalcanivorax pacificus W11-5
Lineage: Bacteria; Pseudomonadati; Pseudomonadota; Gammaproteobacteria; Oceanospirillales; Alcanivoracaceae
Also listed under: 9 other names
Description: tRNA-Val (GAC) (tRNA-Val-GAC-1-1)
Rfam family: tRNA
About the family: Transfer RNA (tRNA) molecules are approximately 80 nucleotides in length.
Source: RNAcentral
AGGCACGUAGCUCAGUUGGUUAGAGCACCACCUUGACAUGGUGGGGGUCGGUGGUUCGAGUCCACUCGUGCCUACCA